ACCAUGCAAGUCGAACGAUCCUUCGGGAUAGUGGCGGACGGGUGAGGAAAANNNAANAGNAUCUACCUUCUGGACGGGGAUAACAGUGGGAAACNAGNNGCUAAAACCGGAUGAGCUGAGAAGUAAAAGAGAAAUCGCCAGAAGAGGAGCUGAGGUCUGAUUAGCUAGAUGGUGGAGUAAAAGCCUACCAUGGCGACGAUCAGUAGCUGGUCUGAGAGGAUGAGCAGCCACACUGGGACUGAGACACGGCCCAGACUCCUACGGGAGGCAGCAGUGGGGAAUUUUCCGCAAUGGGCGAAAGCCUGACGGAGCAAUACCGCGUGAGGGAGGAAGGCUUUUGGGUUGUAAACCUCAAAAAUUAGGGAAGAAGAAAGUGACGGUACCUAACAUAANNAUCGGCUAACUCCGUGCCAGCAGCCGCGGUAAUACGGAGGAUGCAAGCGUUAUCCGGAAUCAUUGGGCGUAAAGAGUCCGUAGGCGGAACUUCAAGUCUGCUGUCAAAGACCGAAGCUUAACUUCGGAAAGGCGGUGGAAACUGAAGAACUAGAGUACAGAAGGGGUAGAGGGAAUUCCCAGUGUAGCGGUGAAAUGCGUAGAGAUUGGGAAGAACACCAGUGGCGAAGGCGCUCUACUGGACUUGUACUGACGCUGAGGGACGAAAGCUAGGGGAGCAAAAGGGAUUAGAUACCCCUGUAGUCCUAGCAGUAAACGAUGGAUACUAGGCGUAGAG
RNAcentral lists this ribosomal RNA (730 nucleotides) under uncultured cyanobacterium. RNAcentral describes it as "bacterial SSU rRNA". It matches the Rfam family "Bacterial small subunit ribosomal RNA", at positions 53 to 827 of the family's 1533-position model. Lineage: Bacteria; Bacillati; Cyanobacteriota. The record is from RNAcentral.